RNAcentral lists this ribosomal RNA (228 nucleotides) under Flavobacteriales bacterium. RNAcentral describes it as "partial 23S ribosomal RNA". It matches the Rfam family "Bacterial large subunit ribosomal RNA", at positions 2683 to 2925 of the family's 2925-position model. The record is from RNAcentral. Lineage: Bacteria; Pseudomonadati; Bacteroidota; Flavobacteriia; Flavobacteriales.
ACGAGAGGACCGAGUUGGACAAACCUCUAGUGUACCUGUUGUAGUGCCAACUGCACCGCAGGGUAGCUAUGUUUGGAUGAGAUAAGCACUGAAAGCAUCUAAGUGCGAAACUCGCCUCAAGAUGAGAUUUCCUUUAAGGGUCGUUGAAGACUACGACGUUGAUAGGCUGCAGGUGUAAAGACAGUAAUGUCAAAGCCGAGCAGUACUAAUUACCCGUAAGCUUUCUAA